GAGUGAAGAGGGACAAGCUCAAAUUUUAAAUCUUGUCGGGUUCUACCUGGCCGAGUUGUAAUUUGAAGAGGCGUUUUCUCGUGUUUCUGAUCAGUCCAAGUCCUUUGGGAUAAGGCAUCACGGAGGGCGAGAAUCCCGUUCGGUUGAUCAGAUUCGCUUUACGAUACGCUUUCAAAGAGUCAAAUUGUUUGGGAUUGCAGCUUAAAAUGGGAGGUAAAUUUCUCCUAAGGCUAAAUAACGGCGAGAGACCGAUAGCGAACAAGUACCGUGAGGGAAAGAUGAAAAGAACUUUGAAAAGAGAGUUAAACAGUACGUGAAAUUGUUGAAAGGGAAACGAUUGAAGCCAGUCGUACCUUCGGGUAAUCAGCCUUUCGGGUGCGAUUCUGUGGAGUGUGAGGAGCUUAACACCUUCAUGCUUUGCAUAUUUGUGCUCUUGGGUGUACUUGCCCGUGUGGUUGGUUAACAUCAAUUUUGGUUAUCAUAAAAUGAUUGGAGGAAUGUAGCUUCGAUCUCGUAUUGAAGUGUUAUAGCCUUCGGUAGAUGUGAUGAUCGAGAUUGAGGAUUGCAGCGGAUACCCUUCGGGGCUACCUGUCUGGUCUCUGAUCGUUGCUCUGGUGCCGAAAGCUUGCUUACGGUUAUCAAAGUCGAUGGUCAAUAGGUUAGAACGGGUUAAAUUCGUUA
This 681-nucleotide ribosomal RNA is filed under the name uncultured Glomeromycotina. Its description in RNAcentral is "eukaryotic LSU rRNA". It matches the Rfam family "Eukaryotic large subunit ribosomal RNA", at positions 91 to 634 of the family's 3401-position model. The record is from RNAcentral. Lineage: Eukaryota; Fungi; Glomeromycota.